RNAcentral lists this ribosomal RNA (1051 nucleotides) under uncultured Phycisphaeraceae bacterium. RNAcentral's name for it is "bacterial SSU rRNA". It matches the Rfam family "Bacterial small subunit ribosomal RNA", at positions 8 to 1086 of the family's 1533-position model. The record is from RNAcentral. Lineage: Bacteria; Pseudomonadati; Planctomycetota; Phycisphaerae; Phycisphaerales; Phycisphaeraceae.
AGAGUUUGAUCCUGGCUCAGAUUGAACGCUGGCGGCAUGGCUAAAACAUGCAAGUCGAACGCGAAAGCUCCUUCGGGAGCAAGUAGAGUGGCGUAAGGGCGAGGAAUACGUUUCUACGUACCCCAAGGUCGAGGAUAGCUCGGGGAACCCGGGGUAAUACUCGAUGUGGUGCUUCGGCAUCAAAGGCUUGUCUGCCUUGGGAGCGGGGAACGUCCUAUCAGGUUGUUGGUGAGGUAACGGCUCACCAAGCCGAAGACGGGUAGCGGGUGUGAGAGCAUGACCCGCCGCAUCGGGACUGAGACACUGCCCGGACUCCUACGGGAGGCUGCAGUAACGAAUAUUCCGCAAUGCACGAAAGUGUGACGGGGCAAUGCCGCGUGUGGGAUGAAGCCCCUCGGGGUGUAAACCACUGUCAGGGUUUAGGAACACAAUGACCAGACCCAAAGGAAGGGCCGGCUAACUCUGUGCCAGCAGCCGCGGUAAUACAGAGGGCCCGAGCGUUAAUCGGAAUCACUGGGCUUAAAGAGUGCGUAGGCGGACGUAAAGGUACUUUGUGAAAUCCCUCGGCUCAACCGGGGAAUUGCUUGGUAAACCAUACGUCUUGAGGCAGGUAGGGGUGGUCGGAACGCUAGGUGGAGCGGUGGAAUGCGUAGAUAUCUAGCGGAACGCCAAUGGAGAAGUCAGGCCACUGGGCCUGUCCUGACGCUGAGGCACGAAAGCGUGGGUAGCAAACGGGAUUAGAUACCCCGGUAGUCCACGCCGUAAACGAUGCGAACUAGAUCGAGGAGGUUUGACGCCCUCUUGGUCGAAGCAAAAGUGUUAAGUUCGCCGCCUGGGGAGUACGGUCGCAAGGCUAAAACUCAAAGGAAUUGACGGGGGCUCACACAAGCGGUGGAGCAUGUGGCUUAAUUCGAAGCAACGCGAAGAACCUUAUCCAGGGUUUGACAUGUAUGGAUUAACUCCGUGAAAGCGGAGCCACACCUUCGGGUGGAACAUACACAGGUGCUGCAUGGCUGUCGUCAGCUCGUGCUGUGAAGUGUCGGGUUAAGUC